RNAcentral lists this ribosomal RNA (400 nucleotides) under uncultured bacterium. RNAcentral describes it as "bacterial SSU rRNA". It matches the Rfam family "Bacterial small subunit ribosomal RNA", at positions 355 to 747 of the family's 1533-position model. The record is from RNAcentral.
UGGGGAAUCUUGGACAAUGGGGGCAACCCUGAUCCAGCGAUGCCGCGUGUGUGAAGAAGGCCUUAGGGUUGUAAAGCACUUUAGUUGGGGAGGAGGAGUUUGCGUUGAAUAGACGCAGACGAGGACGUUACCCAAAGAAUAAGCACCGGCUAACUCUGUGCCAGCAGCCGCGGUAAUACAGAGGGUGCAAGCGUUAAUCGGAAUAAUUGGGCGUAAAGAGUGCGUAGGUGGUAUCUUAAGUGGUAUGUGAAAGACCGGGGCUUAACCUUGGGGUGUCAUAUCAUACUGGGAUGCUAGAGGACAGUAGAGGAAGGUGGAAUUUCCGGUGUAGCGGUGAAAUGCGUAGAUAUCGGGAGGAACAUCAGUGGCGAAGGCGACCUUCUGGGCUGGACCUGACACU